This 1308-nucleotide long non-coding RNA is filed under the name Monodelphis domestica (gray short-tailed opossum). RNAcentral describes it as "lncRNA (ENSMODG00000031621.2)". Lineage: Eukaryota; Metazoa; Chordata; Mammalia; Didelphimorphia; Didelphidae. The record is from RNAcentral.
UCUGGAACGUCUCUGAAUUCUAGUAUUCCAGAAUCUGAGUUUGUAGCAAGUAUAGCCCAUCAGUGCUCUGAGAAGCAAGUAAGCAUCCCUAAGAAGUGACUGUCAUAAUUUAGGGCAAUGGAAGCUAAGAAGACCAUUAAUUUAGAACAGGGUAGAGAAGAGAAGAGUGUGCCUCCAGGGUUUGGGAAGAAAAUGAUUGUACUUCAUUCAGGAAGAACCAGACACCUCAAGGAGAUGUUUUCCAUAAACCUUAACAUAAAGCCUACUUCCAGUCCCAUCAUGCCCCAGGGACAGUUGAAAGAAAAGAAGCAGCUUUCCCCCCAAUGGACAAGAAUGAUGAAAUCACCAAAACAGGAAUGCAGGGGCAUACUCAUACUGGAAGAAGGGAAGCAAGUGACAUCAGGAUGCAAAUUAUGAACCACUGAAGAGGAACAAAAUUAAAUUUCCAUUUCAGCUCUUCACUCAUUGAAUUAGUUCCUGUUCCUGACAAGUUAAUGCCCAAGCACUAGCUUUGCUUUGUCGCUGAAAUUCCUUAGAAAUUGGCAGGUUUCCAUUGUUUCCCUCAAAAGCAGUUACUCAGAAAUAGGUAAUGACAUAGAAGGGGACUGUAGAUCUCCAUCUAGGCAUAGUCCUGGAAUUGACUCCAAAUACAUCACUUUCCUAUAUAAAAGCUGAUUGGGUUUAUAUUACUGUUGCUGUAUGUCUCUUUGUAUGGUUUGGGUUGUAAAUGUGUGUGUGGGGGGGGGUUAGGUGAAAGGGAAAUGCUUUGUAAUUCUACUCUGCUUUAUUCUCUGUGGUCCAAUCAUUGUUUACUGGUGAACUCUCAAUCCUUCCAUUUCAUUUUUUGGUUUGUUUAACCUCAAAUUCUUAGUUUUGCUAUUGCCUCCUGACCAAAUCCCAUAACAAAGAAUUGCAUCAGUAUCUCAGCUUUUCAUCUGUACUUAAGUACUUUUGAUCUGUUGCCUUAUAAGGGUUAUUUAUCUGUCACUCCUGUAGAUUCAGGGGAAUCAUCCAGGAAUAGAGCCAGGGAGUUUUCAUUCAUUCUUUCAAAGCCCAAACACCAACUUACAUUUUCUUUUUGUAGCUUUAAAAAGCUAAAUCUAGGUCUUAUAUCUCAGAAAUAUUCACUGAUUUUUACAUUUCAUCCCAAUGGUAACUUUAUUUUCCUUGUGUUCAAUAACUUAUUGUCGCUUGAAUUUGAUCAGGCAAAUAUUCCAAGUAUGUCUGUUCAUACCUAAUGUCUGUAGAAAUUGAAGAGACCUAAAGAGAUCAUCCCUUCAUUUUUUUCACCUCCAGACAAAUGAACAU